This 252-nucleotide ribosomal RNA is filed under the name uncultured bacterium. Its description in RNAcentral is "partial 16S ribosomal RNA". It matches the Rfam family "Bacterial small subunit ribosomal RNA", at positions 524 to 776 of the family's 1533-position model. The record is from RNAcentral.
UACGGAGGGUGCAAGCGUUAUCCGGAUUUACUGGGUUUAAAGGGUGCGUAGGUUGCCCGAUAAGUCAGUGGUGAAAGGUCGUAGCCUAACUACGGAUGUGCCAUUGAUACUGUCGAGCUAGAAUUAAUAUGAGGUACUUGGAAUGCGUCAUGUAGCGGUGAAAUGCUUAGAGAUGACGUAGAACACCAAUAGCGAAGGCAGAGUACCAGUAUGGAUUGACACUGAGGCACGAAAGUGUGGGGAGCGAACAGG